UUCUGCAUCACUCCCGUGCUCGCUCCAGCCCAAUUUCUCCACCCCAAGUCUGCACAGCGAUACCUCUUAUUACCGCCUACGCGGCUGCGCGUCAGAGUCCUCCCCAAAUCGCUCGGAUCGCAAACAUGAACGCUGGCUAGCGGCGAGAGGGAAGACAGAGAAGCGGCAGCUUGCUUUAACGUCGUCGUAAUUUUUGUGACCAAGACGCCAUAUUUUACUACAACACUCAAUGGCCGAUAGCAAGAAUCUACUAUGGAUGGAAUGAAUGAGAGAAGAUAAGGAAUUCUUAAAUUCAGCAAAGAUACUAAUUGGAAAGCCUUAUUAAAACAUUAUAAAUCUAAUGUGAAUUUACUCACAUUUUAGAUUAAAUUUACAAAUAUUAAGAACAUUCAAUCUGAGAAAGUCCCAGUCAGCAAGCAGGACUAACUGACGAGGCUUUGGUCGCUUCAAAUUUCAGGCAGCAACUACUUGAUUGAAGAGAAAAAAGGCAAAACUUGUAGGUGCACACACACUUUUGAAUUCCUAAUUAUGGAUCCAGAUUUUUAAUAAAAGUGUUUAGUACUAUGGUGUUGAACCAUGCUAGCCAUUAUGGCCAGAAGGAGGGGUCUGAGUUGCUUUGAAAGCUUGCAUAUUGUAAUCUUUUUAGUUAUCCAAUAAAAGGUGUCAUUUUG
Long non-coding RNA from Polypterus senegalus (gray bichir), 671 nucleotides. RefSeq lists it as uncharacterized. The transcript is spliced from 2 exons. The record is from RefSeq and is a predicted model, not a curated record. Lineage: Eukaryota; Metazoa; Chordata; Cladistia; Polypteriformes; Polypteridae.